UACUUCUGUAAUUUUUUCUUUAUUAAACAAUAAUUAUAUAAUACAAAGAGACAACAUGAUACAUAUUUUGGAACAUAGAAACCAUGUUAUAACUAAACCUGUAACAAAACCACUAGUAUCACCAACAACCUGACAAUUGUUCUCCCAUGGCAUUGUGCCAGUGAGCAUCAUAGGAAUAAGUGCAGAUUGUUUUCCAGUUAGAGAUUCACUGUGGACAUAAGCAUUCACCAACACUAGCACAAAAUGACUGUCUUAUCAUUUAAAUUACAGCUUUAUUAAUUGGCAAACUACACAUUUAUUUCAUAAUGACAUCUAAAUGAGAACCUGGGAAGUGUAUACUUUCGAAAGGCAUUAAGGAGGUUUCUGUAUCAUAAAAGAACCUAGAGUUACAUUCAAGAUGUUAAGUCUGCAUUGUGGCUUAAUGAGCAGCAUACGGAUAUGUGGUUUACAAACAUCUAGCACGUUAGGUUUGUCAUCAGUGAUAUAGAGUAUGGAUGUAAAAACAGAAUGGUAAGAUGUUGCAUUGAGAAGUUAUGGAAAGUGGAGGGCAAUCCCCUGCAGAUCACACACUACUACAAAAUACAAAGGGAAACAAAAACAAAACACACACACACAAAAACACACAUAUUACUUGACCUUUGUGUUAAUAAAUGUUUAUGUCCACUGUUUCCAGGUGUGGAAUGAGCAGCACAUUGUGCUCUGCAGAACACUGCUGCAGAUAACAUCUAGGGGAUAAGGCACUUAUGGGAAAUAUACUAACACCUGUCAACUAUUUUGAUACAAUAAUAUUAAAACUAGAAGUUAAUCCUCAGGCAAUUGCUUUGUUAGUUCCAACAUCAAAGUUUAGGUUAUCCUAGGACAUGAUCAUAAUGAAAAUGCCACAUGGGUCUUGUCUGCCUUUAGAGGGUCACUCUAGGCAACAAUCACUAAAGCAUGCUGAAGUGGUUAUGGUGCCACGAGUCAAUAAGCGUCAUCCACCAGUAGUCUGUCGAACCGCUUAUGAAUGGUUUUGCACCUACCUUGCUGUGUCCAAUGCCUGCAUUCCUUCUGGUCUGAUAAAGUGGAAGUUCAUACUUUAGCAUUAUUAUACCAGGUUUAGAGGCAGAGUCAUCAGCUGACAGUCAGAAAUUUAAUACGGUUUAAACCAGAUAUGAGUUUAAAUGAUAAAAACAUAAUUUUAUUUUAUCAGACCAACUCAGACUGGAAGGAAAGUGGGUGCCAGAAACGGCAAGGUCAGACCAUUCAUUGUGCCAUUUAAUUGUACGAUUAAAUGAGUUUUGCAGAAGAGCGGAGCAAUAAUUUUUUUUCCAAAAAGGCUUAGAGGUUGACAUAAACUGUAUUGAGGACCAUGCAUACUCUUUUGCUACUUGAGACUACAAUGAGCUAAAGUACUUACGGACAGUGCUCUUUAACUUGUUUCGUGUCUUACUUUGUACUACUCUCACCCAAUUGAGAUUUUACUUGUUUGGAGGUGUGUUUACAAUAAUAUUAAAAUUAUAUCAGCUUCUGAAUAGACCAUAAAGAACCUUUACCUUCCUGGCAUAUCUCUCCCCAUGCUAAGCUAUUCAUACUUAUUCCAAAGUAUAGAUAAAGGAUGAUUGUUUUUGAUUGUUACUCAAAAUGCAGAGAAAACGUUUGGCUGCAUCUCAAGCAGAAUGUUACAAUUGUAUGAAAAGAAAAAAAACACAAAACAAAAAUACUAUUAUAAUAAAAAUUUAAAGACAUGUUGAAUGGUACAGUGUACAGUGAUGAGAUGGUACCGUCUACAGUAAAAAAAAAAGUUCAGUGUUUGUAACCAUGUUUGUUUUCUGCACACAGUUACAGUCUUGUUACAUAGGUUAAGAAAAUUGCUUGAUAUAACAUAAAAUAACUACCAUAAUAAAAUUACAUGACAGGCUUUCUGCGUAUGCUAACCUUAAUGUAUAAAUACUAUACAAGAAAUGCUAUCAUGCAAAGGAUUAACUCAACAUCCCCUGGCACCAUCCACGGUUUGAUAUAAACAGAGGGAACGUCACCUCCCAGCUACAUUAAUAAGGCAGAAUUAAUAUGUCUGCAUUACCAGUGUCAAUAACACACCCAUAGCACUCUAAGCAAAUCAAUGCUGGACCGAACUGACACUGAUUAUGUAGAAGUGUUAAAAAAAAAAACUCUUUUUUUUUUUUUUUUACCAUUGUAAUAUAAAUCUGUUAUAUACCAUUUCAUAAUGUAUUUAUUCUUUUAAAUUCAUGUAUAUUGAAAUUUUUAUAAACUCACUUUAUUUCAGCUCUGAGACAGUAUCUUUUCUACACAUCUUAUACAACUCCUGUGAAGUCAUCAUAACUGAUUACCUGUGUCCAAUCAGAUUCUUCUCCUAGAAAAAUUAACUCAGUCUUGAAACCAGUGGUAUUCUAUGAGAAGCUUUCACUUUCACUUUCAGGAACAGUUUAAAUAGACACUAUGGUCCCCAAAACAACUUUAGCUUAACCCCUUAAGGACCAAACUUCUGGAAUAAGAGGGAAUCAUGACAUGUCACACGUCAUGUGUCCUUAAGGGGUUAAACAGACAAUUUUGGUGUAUAGAUCAUGCCUCUGCAAUCUCACUGCACAAUUCCCCCCCAUGUUUGUUUCAAAUAUGCAGCCCCAGCCACAUUCUGCAUGCAAACAAAAUGGUUUAAUUUUCAAUCAGAUGUAACUUACUUUAAAAGUUUCUAUCUUCUGCUUUGUAAAUUUAACUUUAAUCACACACUUGCAAGCUAUUAACAGAGCAGGACAUAAAUUAUAAAUUAAAUAUAAUUUGCAGUACAGGAAGUGUAAACAUUAGAUGACUUUGUGGGAAGUGUAUAAGAAGGCUUUGUAAGUCACAUGUAGGGAGACAUGGCUAGGAUUGCCCAAACAAAGUGAUUUAACUCUUAAAUGUCAGAGAAUUGAGCAGUUAGACUACUGGGGCAUGAUCUACACACCAAAACUGCUUAAUUAAGCUAAAGUUGUUUGGUGUCUAUGGUGUCCCUUUAAGGCAAAUGAGAAACAUUCCCAUCUGUCUGCAUGACGAUAAUGUGUUACCAAGGAGAUUUAAAAUAAAAAAAGCCAAUUUUUUUGGAAAUUUUAACUUGUAUAAAAUGAGCCUGUAGCUUACAGAUAAUCCAUAUUUCUAAGAGGUAAUUAAGCUCUACAUAAAAUAACAUUGUCAAAAAGAGGUUCAUUUAUCAGAUAAACUGAAAUGUAACAGACAAUUGUAAAAGCUUAAAGAUCUGAUGGCCCCUCAAUAGUUAGUUACAGAUUUGUUCCCUGGUUUUAAUACUGUUCUUUGCUGGCUCUAUGUUGCCAAAUGAUAGUGUUAGCUUAGUUAUGCCCUUAGUGCUUCACUAAGAAAAUUGCCCUAGAGAAAAGCAUUGAUUAUUUUUCCAACCCCACAGAUUUCUGUAUGUGCUACUGAUGGAUAUUUUUUAACAUGCAGUAUGUCAUAAUGGCUAAAGAAUAACAACAAUUAAUAAUUACAUUUUUUAAAAAUCAAACGCCUGCCCUACUUCCCCAAACUAUGAAAUCAUUAAAAAAAUAAAUCAUUAAAUCCCAUUCUAGAAACCAAGUAUAUCACCAGUGCAUUUUGGGGAGGUGUAGGUUUAGGAUGAUCAUGUACUAAAUUUAAAUCAGAAAUUAGUAUUUAAUCAAUGCAUAAUGUCUAUCAUAGGCAGUAGAGCACUUUUUUUUGUCAAUGAUUAAACCUGGGAUGCUGUCACUAUAGCACAGUUCUGUUUCACAAGGUUAAUCAUCCAGUAAGAGUUUUUUCAUAGCCUCUUUAAGUCUUAUUACAUGUAUAUUAUCCCUGAGUAUUUUAAGUUUGCAUACUUAUAUAAAUUCUAUACCUAUAAUUCACCUGGUAUUAUAUUUCACCUAUACAUUUUGCUAGCAAAAGUAUAGAUUUUAUAGAAAAAUAAUACCCCCCAAAAUACCGUCAACUGUUAAUUUGCACCACACAGGAGUAUGCCAAUAGUUAACUGGCAGGGGAAGAACCGGAGAAGCCUCCUCCUCAUCCAAGUAGCUUUCCUGCUCUCCUUCAGAGCAAAUACAGUACAUACCUUGUGACUGCUGAAAUUAUCCCUGUCAUUUACAACGUACUAGCAUCUCAUAGCUUGCCGGAGAAAUGCAGGACAAGUGUGACUGAAAUUACACACCACAGCACUGGCAAAGAAGCCAGAGAGUUGGAAUGACAAGGGAAUGACAAUUAAGCCUGCUUCCAAAGCAGGCUUAAUUAUGUAACAGGCAGUUGGUGUGUGUUACACUAAUGUAACCCCAUCAAUCCAGCAUUACGGUGGCUAAACAACACUAGAGAGUAGUAACAUUGGAUUAAAAGCUCCUUAUGCAAUGAAAAAGAACUUAUGCGUUCAUUGCAUAAAUGGUACCUGAUUUGCCAGGUAAAAGUUAUGCUAUUUUAAAAGAACAAACAAUUAAUCUAUAAAUUGUGCUAGCAAAUGUAUUUUAAAAAAGUUUUUUUUCUCCAACCUGUCAAUCAGUUCUUUGGCAAAGACUAUAUGCAAAAGAAUGUACUGACAAGGGAGAGCAGAAAAGACCUCCCCACUGGUAGUCCAUCUGUUCUCCCUACAUAGCAACCACAUAGCAUGUGCUGUGGUUGCUAUGGCAGCUCUAGCCAAUGCUGCCAGUGCUGGAUAGAGAAUAUAGAAACCGUAACUAAUAUCACUCCUUUUAGAUGUCGGCAUGCUGGCAAAUGAAACCAACGUGUUGGCAUCACAGAGGAAGUUUGGUGAGUAAAAGGAGAGAGCUGGAGAAGCAUUGGAACAGAGGUAAGGUGAACAUAUCUCAAUAUUUUACAUUGAAUACAUCAUGUAUGUCUCGAAUACGUGAUGUAUUUGGGGACUAUUUAGUUCAACUUAAAAUACGGACAACAGGUUCACCUAUCAUGACAUGAUAAUGCCAGAGGUAUUUCAACAUAGAAACAUAGACAUUACAUUAAAAAAAAAUUUAAAAAAAGAACCCAACAAAAAAAAAACAUUUAUGCUCAGAGUUCUUCAUCUUGUAUCAAACUGAAGGGCAAAUAUAAGAUGUUAUACUUAUUCGCACAUACACUGGAGUUGGAAAAAAUUAUUCCCGCUUUGUGUCCUCCUUAUCUUUGCUUGGAGAAGUCCACACUUCAGUGUACAACAGAGUCCCCAGAAAAACAACAAAAGUGCCAAUCCAGUGCCAAGUGGUAAAAGGAUUAUUAAAGUACAAAAUGGAAAUAAUGAGGCUAAGGAACUUGCGAAGUGUGACAACCAGGGUUACUGUGAGAGAAGGGCACUCAGUGGUUAGGAUAAACACACCCCGAAUGCACACAUACCUGAAAAGUGGAGUUAAGGAAGGUUGAAACAAAAUUAUAUUCACACUAAUUCAAAAAGCACCCAUACAAGACAUAUGCAUGAAUAUAGGACCUCUGAUUAACAUGGUAUAGCCAUAAUGAGUAAACUACAAUAAAAUAUAGACUGAGCUACAGGAUGCAAUGUUAAGUAAUGUGUGUAAAUGAAAAUUAAUG
Molecule: non-coding RNA, 5499 nt
Organism: Pelobates cultripes (western spadefoot toad)
Lineage: Eukaryota; Metazoa; Chordata; Amphibia; Anura; Pelobatidae
Source: the annotation of a GenBank genome assembly